CCUACGGGUGGCAGCAGUGAGGAAUAUUGGUCAAUGGCCGUAAGGCUGAACCAGCCAAGUCGCGUGAAGGAAGACGGAUCUAUGGUUUGUAAACUUCUUUUAUAGGGGAAUAAAGGUAUCCACGUGUGGAUAUUUGCAUGUACCCUAUGAAUAAGCAUCGGCUAACUCCGUGCCAGCAGCCGCGGUAAUACGGGGGAUGCGAGCGUUAUCCGGAUUUAUUGGGUUUAAAGGGUGCGUAGGCGGCGCUUCAGGUCAGCGGUGAAAUACCGGGGCUCAACCCCGGGGCUGCCGUUGAAACCGGAGCGCUAGAAUUCCGAUGCCGUCGGAGGAAUGUGUGGUGUAGCGGUGAAAUGCAUAGAUAUCACACAGAACACCGAUUGCGAAGGCAUCUGACGAAUCGGAGAUUGACGCUGAUGCACGAAAGCGUGGGUAUCGAACAGGAUUAGAUACCCGGGUAGUC
This 460-nucleotide ribosomal RNA is filed under the name uncultured bacterium. RNAcentral describes it as "partial 16S ribosomal RNA". It matches the Rfam family "Bacterial small subunit ribosomal RNA", at positions 338 to 795 of the family's 1533-position model. The record is from RNAcentral.